This 466-nucleotide ribosomal RNA is filed under the name uncultured bacterium. Its description in RNAcentral is "partial 16S ribosomal RNA". It matches the Rfam family "Bacterial small subunit ribosomal RNA", at positions 28 to 507 of the family's 1533-position model. The record is from RNAcentral.
GAUGAACGCUGGCGGCGUGCUUAACACAUGCAAGUCGAACGAUGAAGCCUAGCUUGCUGGGUGGAUUAGUGGCGAACGGGUGAGUAACACGUGAGUAACCUGCCCUUAACUCUGGGAUAAGCCUGGGAAACUGGGUCUAAUACCGGAUAGGAGCGCCUACCGCAUGGUGGGUGUUGGAAAGAUUUAUCGGUUUUGGAUGGACUCGCGGCCUAUCAGCUUGUUGGUGAGGUAAUGGCUCACCAAGGCGACGACGGGUAGCCGGCCUGAGAGGGUGACCGGCCACACUGGGACUGAGACACGGCCCAGACUCCUACGGGAGGCAGCAGUGGGGAAUAUUGCACAAUGGGCGAAAGCCUGAUGCAGCGACGCCGCGUGAGGGAUGACGGCCUUCGGGUUGUAAACCUCUUUCAGUAGGGAAGAAGCGAAAGUGACGGUACCUGCAGAAGAAGCACCGGCUAACUACGUG